This 257-nucleotide ribosomal RNA is filed under the name uncultured bacterium. RNAcentral's name for it is "partial 16S ribosomal RNA". It matches the Rfam family "Bacterial small subunit ribosomal RNA", at positions 524 to 776 of the family's 1533-position model. The record is from RNAcentral.
UACGUAGGGGUGCGAGCGUUUGUCCGGAAUUAUUGGGCGUAAAGAGCUCGUAGGCGGUCUGUCGCGUCUGCUGUGAAAUCCCGAGGCUCAACCUCGGGCCUGCAGUGGGUACGGGCAGACUAGAGUGCGGUAGGGGAGAUUGGAAUUCCUGGUGUAGCGGUGGAAUGCGCAGAUAUCAGGAGGAACACCGAUGGCGAAGGCAGGUCUCUGGGCCGCAACUGACGCUGAGGAGCGAAAAGCGUGGGGGAGCGAACAGG